RNAcentral lists this ribosomal RNA (521 nucleotides) under uncultured bacterium. Its description in RNAcentral is "bacterial SSU rRNA". It matches the Rfam family "Bacterial small subunit ribosomal RNA", at positions 988 to 1509 of the family's 1533-position model. The record is from RNAcentral.
CCAGAGAACUUAGCAGAGAUGCUUUGGUGCCUUCGGGAACUCUGAGACAGGUGCUGCGUGGCUGUCGUCAGCUCGUGUUGUGAAAUGUUGGGUUAAGUCCCGCAACGAGCGCAACCCUUAUCCUUUGUUGCCAGCGGUUAGGCCGGGAACUCAAAGGAGACUGCCAGUGAUAAACUGGAGGAAGGUGGGGAUGACGUCAAGUCAUCAUGGCCCUUACGAGUAGGGCUACACACGUGCUACAAUGGCGCAUACAAAGAGAAGCGACCUCGCGAGAGCAAGCGGACCUCAUAAAGUGCGUCGUAGUCCGGAUUGGAGUCUGCAACUCGACUCCAUGAAGUCGGAAUCGCUAGUAAUCGUGGAUCAGAAUGCCACGGUGAAUACGUUCCCGGGCCUUGUACACACCGCCCGUCACACCAUGGGAGUGGGUUGCAAAAGAAGUAGGUAGCUUAACCUUCGGGAGGGCGCUUACCACUUUGUGAUUCAUGACUGGGGUGAAGUCGUAACAAGGUAGGCGUAGUGCU